RNAcentral lists this unclassified non-coding RNA (321 nucleotides) under uncultured Halomonadaceae bacterium. Its description in RNAcentral is "contains 16S-23S intergenic spacer region". It matches the Rfam family "Bacterial small subunit ribosomal RNA", at positions 875 to 1196 of the family's 1533-position model. Lineage: Bacteria; Pseudomonadati; Pseudomonadota; Gammaproteobacteria; Oceanospirillales; Halomonadaceae. The record is from RNAcentral.
GGGGAGUACGUUCGCAAGAAUGAAACUCAAAUGAAUUGACGGGGGCCCGCACAAGCGGUGGAGCAUGUGGUUUAAUUCGAUGCAACGCGAAGAACCUUACCUACCCUUGACAUCCUCGGAAUCUGCCGGAGACGGCGGAGUGCCUUCGGGAGCCGAGUGACAGGUGCUGCAUGGCUGUCGUCAGCUCGUGUUGUGAAAUGUUGGGUUAAGUCCCGUAACGAGCGCAACCCCUGUCCCUAUUUGCCAGCGAUUCGGUCGGGAACUCUAGGGAGACUGCCGGUGACAAACCGGAGGAAGGUGGGGAUGACGUUUACCGACAGU